UAGGGAAUCUUCGGCAAUGGACGGAAGUCUGACCGAGCAACGCCGCGUGAGUGAAGAAGGUUUUCGGAUCGUAAAGCUCUGUUGUAAGGGAAGAACGAGUGUGAGAGUGGAAAGUUCACACUGUGACGGUAUCUUACCAGAAAGGGACGGCUAACUACGUGCCAGCAGCCGCGGUAAUACGUAGGUCCCGAGCGUUGUCCGGAUUUAUUGGGCGUAAAGCGAGCGCAGGCGGUUAGAUAAGUCUGAAGUUAAAGGCUGUGGCUUAACCAUAGUAGGCUUUGGAAACUGUUUAACUUGAGUGCAAGAGGGGAGAGUGGAAUUCCAUGUGUAGCGGUGAAAUGCGUAGAUAUAUGGAGGAACACCGGUGGCGAAAGCGGCUCUCUGGCUUGUAACUGACGCUGAGGCUCGAAAGCGUGGGGAGCAAACAGGAUUAGAUACCCUGGUAGUCCACGCUGUAAACGAUGAGUGCUAGGUGUUAGACCCUUUCCGGGGUUUAGUGCCGUAGCUAACGCAUUAAGCACUCCGCCUGGGGAGUACGACCGCAAGGUUG
Molecule: ribosomal RNA, 550 nt
Filed under: uncultured bacterium
Lineage: Bacteria
Description: bacterial SSU rRNA
Rfam family: Bacterial small subunit ribosomal RNA
Source: RNAcentral